GACUGCCCGGCCCCUUCCCGUGCCGAGUCGAGUCGGACUCCUCAGGCCUCCUCCCUCCCUCAUUGUCUCCCCUAACACCGUCACCUUCCCCCUUCUGCCGUCUCAGGAAGGGAAUGCAGACCGUGGGAGAUGCGAAGGGGUGGCGUAGGCCGGGCUGAAGAGCAAGUGUGGAAAUCGGAGUGGAACCCUUGGACGUGGGGAGAAUGCAGGACAGCUGGAGUGAAAGCUGGCAAGAAUCUCCAUGGGAGGACGCAGGUCUGUGUGUAGCUUUGUGGAGUCGUGGCUUUCUACUCCUGACACCAGCUGGGAGUCAACGGGCUCGGAAGCAAGGAGCAGGUCAUGACCUUGUGAGAUGGAGCCCCCCC
Molecule: long non-coding RNA, 365 nt
Organism: Lynx canadensis (Canada lynx)
Lineage: Eukaryota; Metazoa; Chordata; Mammalia; Carnivora; Felidae
Exons: 3
Source: RefSeq, a predicted model, not a curated record